GUCAAGGUGAUCUGCUGAGGUUCAAACUGAGCAUCAACAAGGUGAUUUAGGUGACUCUGAACAUCGCAUCAUUGUUGGUGCCAUUUGAGAAACUGCUGAUCUACUGCAUCUAGUGCUGAGAAUGGCUUGAAAACAAGGCAAUAUCUAAUGAGCAGCAGUUCUCUGGGUGAAAAAAUACCUUCUGGUUGAUGCCAGAAGUCAGAGGAGAAUUGCCAGACUGCUUUGAGAUAUCAGGAAGGCAAAAUAACCACUUGUUACAACCAAAGUAAGCAGAAGAUCAUCUCUGAAUGCAAAACACAUCGAAACCUUGCAGCAGAUGGGCUACAGCAGAAGAAGACCACACCGGCUGCCACUCCUGUCAGCUAAGAAUAGGAAGCCAAGGCUGCACUUCACAUGGACUCAUCACACCUGGCAUCAGCAACAAGAAAGCAUGGAUCCACCCUGUCUGGUAACAAUCAUCAGGCUGGUGGAAUGAUGUGGGGGAAGUUUUCUUGACACGCUUUGGGAGUGUUGUAUAAACACCUGAACAUUGUUGCUGGCCAUGUCAAUCUUUUUACGACCACAGUGUAUCCAACUUCUGAUGGCUGCUUUGAGCAGGAUAACAAACCAUGUCACAAAACUCAAAUAAUCUCAAACUGGUGUCUUGAACAUGACAUUGAGUUUACUGCACUCAAAUGGCCUCCACAGUCAGCAGAUCUCAAUCCAAUAGAGCACCCUUGGGACGAGAUGGAACAACAGAGUCAUGCCAUGAAUGUGAUGCUGUCGUGCCAAUAUGGACCAAGAAUGCAUGAGGAAUGUUUUCAGCCCCUUGUUGAAUCUAUACUACGAAAAACUGAGGAAUUAAGGCAGUUGUGAAGGCAAAAGUGUGUCCAGUACAACCAUCAGGAAGUGUUUGGCUUCGAGGCGUCUCUCUCAACCUUGGCCUCAGUCUCCCAGAUGUGGUGACCGUCUAAAAGAAAGGACAGGAAACAGAGAAAGACUUAGCAACGACGGUUCAGAAAAUAACCCACCUACUUGGCUCCCAGCAGAAAUGAAGAAAUGCAAUGACUGUUGUUAUUAUUAUCGGUUACAUCAGUGAUGUAUAAAACAGCUCCGGAGAGCGGAGGAUAUCACGAACGUCACACUGUCUGACCCACGGCUCAUGAGCUCAUAUCCUCGGUCUAACAAACCGGGGACAGACUUCGAGACAGCAAAAUCGCACAGAGAGAAAUCUGAUGCAAUCCUGAAAAAAAAGAAAAGCAGUCAUACCAAAGAGAUGAGCGACAUCUUUGGUGGAUGAGAGAAAGCUUGACUUCAUCGCUGUGUGGAAUCCCAACAUGCUCGAGCAGCUGGUUGGCUCGUUAAUGCGCGGCGACUGGAAACUGACAACUCGCCUCGACUUUCAAACCUCUCAUUUCUUCUGUUCUCAUAGGAAUCUUUCUGCUGUCCCCAUAUAAUGAUCGUUAAACGGUACUGGUACUUUUUUCUCUUCUUUUCUGGUAAUGUGCUUUUUCUUCUGUUUAGUUGCCACAAUAAAAAAGGUUUUCCCAUCAGGCAAUAAAACGAGGCAUCAUGUGAACUGCUGGAAACACAGGCCUACUAAAAAAAGCUCGGGUUUGAUUUGUCAUUUUGCCCAAUGAGGUGUGAGUAAAACUAUAUUUUUCAACCAAUUUAUUAGACACAGAGGGAAACCACUGUGAUUUCUUUAGACCCCUGACUCAUUAACAAGGCUCUAAAUUGACAUUAAAGGGCUGUGAAAUUGAAAACUGCACUUUAAAAGAAAGAAAAAGUCAACUAUGGCCAAAUUUGUUGAAGAAAAUUGACUCAGUAUCGCUCAACAUGAUGCCUGCAGUUUGACAAGUGGAGCGUUUGAAUGGAGCAGACAGCUCAGUGGAGACGGACGGGACGGUGUUUGAGUAGACGGGAGUUGUGAGGUGGCACAGAUGGAGGAGGUGCAGUUUGGCACUGACUGGAGAGCCGGAGACCUCUGCUCUGUUUGAUCUCACUUUCAUUUUUCUUAUAGCUUCUGCACAUGCCUGGCACUUAGGAUUAGAGUUUCAGGGUUGCUGCUCUCCAGCAACAAGCGAUAACAUUCGUUUUGAAUGAGUAAUAGGGCUACAAAUUCCUCUCAGACGAUUUGAAUCUUCGAGUGUCAAGUUUACGCUCAUUAUUUCAACUUUAACUCUAAACACAAAAUAAAAGUCUUUUUUUUACCUAAUGUUUCCACAGAACUCCUUCAUAUAAAACAGACUAUCAUCCAAGAAAAACCAACAAAAAAGGCUGAGAUAGAGCGCGCUGUCACUUUAGUAAUAACUCGAGGGAAACCUGAGAGGGGCUCAACUGAGAGCUGAGCUGUCACUUCUGGAGACAUAUUUUCAAACUCCUCAACUAUCAGAAGCCCGUCUCAAAUACUGUUUUUACAAUACAGGCUCUGCUUGUACUAAUUUAGUCAAUUUUUCAGUGCACCUGCUGUAAGUAAGAAUGUGGAACUCGGGCUGAGCUAUUAGAGCAAAGUUUUCUUUGUAAGCCUGCUCUGUUUAAAAGAGCACUUUUUAUUUCUGCUAAACAUCAAACAUCUGACAUGGUUUCUGCUGCCAUUAGCCACACCGUGCUUAAUAAUGCAUAAUGUUUAUGCUGCAGUCAAUAUACACAUGUAAAUGUAAGUGGUUGAAAUGACUUCAAAGGGAUGGAAAGAACAUUUCUGACAAGCUGCAAACCAGAAAAGAAAAAAAGGAAGCAAUGCAAUGCAGCCUGUGAACUCUGCAGAUACAUCAACAGGUUCGACUUGUCUUCCAGAUGACACUUAAUACAUCUCUUCUAGCAGCGCAUGCAACUCAACAUAUAUCAUAAAACCUUGCUAUUACUUGUUGUAUGUUUGUCUUUUUUCACUGGUAAAAAAAUAUUUUAAUUCAAUUUCAAGUCAGUUUUCCCUACAAGGU
Long non-coding RNA from Oreochromis niloticus (Nile tilapia), 2918 nucleotides. RefSeq lists it as uncharacterized. The transcript has 2 exons. NCBI's taxonomy places the organism in Eukaryota, Metazoa, Chordata, Actinopteri, Cichliformes, Cichlidae. The record is from RefSeq and is a predicted model, not a curated record.